Long non-coding RNA from Acanthaster planci (crown-of-thorns starfish), 893 nucleotides. The record is from RefSeq and is a predicted model, not a curated record. NCBI's taxonomy places the organism in Eukaryota, Metazoa, Echinodermata, Asteroidea, Valvatida, Acanthasteridae.
GCCGCCCAAAUGCCUAUAAAAAGGAGGAACGAGGAGCACUUUAACCACACCGAACCUGUAGCCGAGAGUCGAGCACAUUUUCUCUUCGAGCAAGCACAAACAGACACCGAUUCACAGCCAUGAAGACCUUCGUCUUACUGUUGUGCCUGGCCCUGGUCGUGGCAGCAUUCGCCCUUGAGGACUUCGACGAGGAUGACGAGUAUGUCAAGAGGGCCGUGAACGACCUGCGCGAGUUCAUGGAAAAGAGGGGCAGGAAGGGCAGGAAGAGCGCCUACUUCAAUUGUUUCGACGACUAUGGAAACCCCUGCGUCUGCAAAAUGGUCAAAGGCAAGAAGUCCCCCGUCCAAUGCCUAUAAGCUCAGCGGGCCAUGAUCCGGGGGAGAAUUGAUCAUGACAACUGGCAUUUGUAAACUACCCUUUAUCGACAGGAACACCCCCGAAAUGGAUUUCGCAAAGUAGGACUUCAGGAGGAUUGGAAGUGGGUAGGCUCACCUUUAGUGGACAAGGCAGCAGAAGUUCCUCAGAUCUGUUCUCUACUCGACGUCUCUUAUUUGCUAGUGGGGCCCCAUCCCAAAAUCUUCUUCUUAGUGCUUAGAAUGCCACGCUUAAAAAAAAAAAAAAAUUCAGCCGCUGCGGUUAUGUAGUAUAAAGCAGUACACAGAAUGACCGCCAUAUUACUUUAGAAUAGGUCUGAUGAACUUUGUUGAGAAGUCAAUCGCCAUUGUAUACAAACUAGAGAAAGCUAUUAGGGUGUCAUGUUCCUUUAAAAUCCUAUUGUAUUUAACAUAAAUGAACGACUAAAAUAUGCAAUUAAACUAUCGAGAUUUUAAACAGGACAGAGUAACUUCAUGUGGAGAGUAAUAACAAACAACUUACCUUCAUGCAAAAAGAAA